AUACGGAGGGGGCUAGCGUUGUUCGGAAUUACAGGGCGUAAAGCGCGCGUAGGCGGAUCGUUAAGUCAGGGGUGAAAGCCCGGAGCUCAACUCCGGAACUGCCCUUGAUACUGGCGAUCUCGAGUCCGGGAGAGGUGAGCGGAAUUCCUAGUGUAGAGGUGAAAUUCGUAGAUAUUAUGAGGAACACCAGUGGCGAAGGCGGCUCACUGGCCCGGUACUGACGCUGAGGUGCGAAAGCGUGGGGAGCAAACAGGAUUAGAAACCCUAGUAGUCC
This 274-nucleotide ribosomal RNA is filed under the name uncultured bacterium. Its description in RNAcentral is "partial 16S ribosomal RNA". It matches the Rfam family "Bacterial small subunit ribosomal RNA", at positions 523 to 796 of the family's 1533-position model. The record is from RNAcentral.